Molecule: ribosomal RNA, 253 nt
Filed under: uncultured bacterium
Lineage: Bacteria
Description: partial 16S ribosomal RNA
Rfam family: Bacterial small subunit ribosomal RNA
Source: RNAcentral
UACGGGGGGGGCAAGCGUUGUUCGGAAUUACUGGGCGUAAAGGGUGCGUAGGCGGCGCGGUAAGUCGGGUGUGAAAUCUCGGGGCUUAACUCCGAAACUGCAUUCGAUACUGCCGUGCUUGAGGACUGGAGAGGAGACUGGAAUUUACGGUGCAGCGGUGAAAUGCGUAGAUAUCGUAAGGAAGACCAGUGGCGAAGGCGGGUCUCUGGACAGUUCCUGACGCUGAGGCACGAAGGCCAGGGGAGCAAACGGG